GUGGGGAAUAUUGGACAAUGGGCGAAAGCCUGAUCCAGCCAUGCCGCGUGUGUGAAGAAGGUCUUCGGAUUGUAAAGCACUUUAAGUUGGGAGGAAGGGCAGUAAGCUAAUACCUUGCUGUUUUGACGUUACCGACAGAAUAAGCACCGGCUAACUUCGUGCCAGCAGCCGCGGUAAUACGAAGGGUGCAAGCGUUAAUCGGAAUUACUGGGCGUAAAGCGCGCGUAGGUGGUUCAGCAAGUUGGAGGUGAAAUCCCCGGGCUCAACCUGGGAACUGCCUCCAAAACUGCAUGACUAGAGUACGGUAGAGGGUAGUGGAAUUUCCUGUGUAGCGGUGAAAUGCGUAGAUAUAGGAAGGAACAACAGUGGCGAAGGCGACUACCUGGACUGAUACUGACACUGAGGUGCGAAAGCGUGGGGAGCAAACAGGAUUAGAAACCCGGGUAGUCC
This 450-nucleotide ribosomal RNA is filed under the name uncultured bacterium. RNAcentral's name for it is "partial 16S ribosomal RNA". It matches the Rfam family "Bacterial small subunit ribosomal RNA", at positions 354 to 796 of the family's 1533-position model. The record is from RNAcentral.